GGUCUCAGUCAAGACCUAAAAGGGUAGGGGGGGAAUCAUUUUUCCUCACAUACAGUUUGGCAACUCAUGAGGGGACCUGCUGAGACGCCACUUUUGCUCUGGAGCCUGCAGACAGGACCCUGGAACACUGGCAGAAGCAGCCCAGGAUAAGAAGUCUGCUCUCCCGAAUCUCUGUACUGCCCCAUGGAGAGAGGACGGGAAAAAUCAUCUGCCCGUUCCUUCCCAUCAUUUAGGUAAGCAGGAAACAAUAUUUGUAUGAACUAGUCCCUUGGGUAUAGAUGUUGGUAAAGAUUUUAUUAUACGCUCGUUUUCUAUUGAUCUCUCCCCUCCCAGAGAUGUUUUCUGUUAUCUCUGUCAUUUGUGUUGUUUGUCAUAAGGAGGAAAACCAUAGGCCAGAUGAGGUUUUCCUCCUGUCUUAAUCUAUGUCUUAAGAACUUGGCCUUUUGACCAGUUCAAGAAUACUCUGUGGCCUCCACCAGCCGGAAGAUGCCAGUAUGGGCUUGUCUCUAGCAGCCAACCGAAUAGGCUGGGAAUCAGACACACAACAUGGAUUGUCUUGGACUAUUGGUCUGCUCCUGAUAAAAGAUUGUGAAGGGUUUUCCACUUUUAGGAGUUUGAUAGCUUGCUAUGACGUGCACUAACCACUAGGGGGCAGCGCGGAACAAGGCAGGCUUCGGGAUGCAGCGCUGGAGGCACUGCCAGCCCUGAUGGGCCCUGACGAGAUCGGGACUGAGGUGGGAUGGUGGAUCAGGUGAGUGGGCGGUGCCAGGCCAAGGCAGGUAUGAGUGGGGGCCUGAUUGCCCCACGGACGGCAACCAGCAGCAGUGGC
Molecule: long non-coding RNA, 829 nt
Organism: Myotis daubentonii (Daubenton's bat)
Lineage: Eukaryota; Metazoa; Chordata; Mammalia; Chiroptera; Vespertilionidae
Source: RefSeq, a predicted model, not a curated record